RNAcentral lists this ribosomal RNA (426 nucleotides) under uncultured Pseudonocardia sp. RNAcentral describes it as "bacterial SSU rRNA". It matches the Rfam family "Bacterial small subunit ribosomal RNA", at positions 356 to 789 of the family's 1533-position model. The record is from RNAcentral. Lineage: Bacteria; Bacillati; Actinomycetota; Actinomycetes; Pseudonocardiales; Pseudonocardiaceae.
CUUUGUCUUUGCGCAAUGGGCGGAAGCCUGACGCAGCGACGCCGCGUGGGGGAUGACGGCCUUCGGGUUGUAAACCUCUUUCGACCUUGACGAAGCCUUUCGGGGUGACGGUAGGGGUAGAAGAAGCACCGGCCAACUACGUGCCAGCAGCCGCGGUAAUACGUAGGGUGCGAGCGUUGUCCGGAAUUAUUGGGCGUAAAGAGCUCGUAGGCGGUCUGUCGCGUCGGUCGUGAAAACUUGGGGCUUAACCCUGAGCUUGCGGUCGAUACGGGCAUGACUGGAGUUCGGCAGGGGAGACUGGAAUUCCUGGUGUAGCGGUGAAAUGCGCAGAUAUCAGGAGGAACACCGGUGGCGAAGGCGGGUCUCUGGGCCGAUACUGACGCUGAGGAGCGAAAGCGUGGGGAGCGAACAGGAUUAGAUACCCUG